Triticum aestivum (bread wheat) is the source of this 2548-nucleotide RNA transcript. It is a transcript of the gene named pentatricopeptide repeat-containing protein At1g71060, mitochondrial, with no coding region annotated. NCBI's taxonomy places the organism in Eukaryota, Viridiplantae, Streptophyta, Magnoliopsida, Poales, Poaceae. The transcript is spliced from 3 exons. The record is from RefSeq and is a predicted model, not a curated record.
GUAAAGUCUGUCCGUACAGCAAACGCUCUAGCAUACACCUCGACGGGCUCGGCUCUUCACUUCACCGACAGGAUUCGCCGCCGCGCCGCCCCGGAGCUCCCGCCCAGGCUCGCCGCCUCAUCGUCCGUCAUCCGCCUUGUGGCCGCGGGAGCACAGACCUCGCCAAAACAUCCAUCCGGGGUCCCGGCUGCCGGCCAGGUCGAUCGCCUCCCCUCUCCUCCGAAAUCGUUCCCCACCAAAACAUCUCUCGUCGCCGCCACGCUCCACGUCCAGGCAGGAUGCGCUGCCUCCGCCGCGCGGGCGCGGCCGCCCACCUGCUCCGCUCCGCGACGACCGGCCCCGCCAAGCACGCUCGCACGGCCCUCGAGCAGAUGCCUCCGCCGCCUGCCGCCUUCCCAUGUCGCGCGCGCGCCCACCACCUGCUCGGAGGAAUGCGCGGCCAGUGGCUCUGCACGGCGACGGGGUCCACCGGCGCCCCCGACCUCGCCGUGGACCAGCACUUCACCGUGGUGCCUGGCCUAGGCCCCGAUGUCUCCGAGGUGGCGGGGCUCACCGGCGCCCACGAUCUUGCCGUGGACCAGGACUUCACAGUGGUGCCCGGCCCAGGCCUCGAUGUCUCCAAGGAGGCGGAGAGGGUCUGCCGCGUGCUGUCCACCGUGCCGGAGCCGAGGGUUGCGUCAGCCCUCGACGCGCUCGGGGCCUCUGUGUCGCCUCAGCUCGUGGCGGAGGUGCUCAAGAACCUGAGCAACGCUGGCAUCCUCGCCCUCGCCUUCUUCCGGUGGGCGGAGAGGCAGCAAGGCUUCGUGUACACGGCGGAGAGCUUCCACAACCUCAUCGAAGCGCUCGGCAAGAUCAAGCAGUUCAGGCUGGUCUGGAGCCUGGUGGAGGCCAUGCGGUGCCGCGGCUUGCUUUCCAAGGACACGUUCAGGCUCAUCGUCAGGAGGUACGCCAGGGCAAGGAAGGUCAAGGAAGCUGUCGAGACGUUUGAGAAGAUGGCCGGCUUCGGGCUCAAAGCAGACUUAUCAGAUUACAAUUGGUUGAUCGACGUGCUGAGCAAAUCCAAGCAAGUCAAGAAGGCGCAAGCCAUCUUCAAGGAGAUGAAGAGGAACGGAAAGUUUGUUCCCGAUUUGAAGACCUACACUGUCCUCAUGGAAGGCUGGGGCCAUGAGAAGGACUUGCUGAUGCUUAAGUCGGUGUACCAAGAAAUGCUUGAUGCAGGCCUGAAGCCUGAUGUCGUGGCAUACGGGAUGCUCAUUAGUUCCUUUUGCAAGUCUGGCAAAUGUGAUGAGGCCAUCAAGGUGUUCUGUGAGAUGGAAGCCAAUGGUUGCAUGCCAAGCCCUCAUGUGUAUUGCAUGCUUAUCAAUGGGCUUGGCUCAGAGGAGAGGCUGGAUGAGGCUUUGAAGUAUUUUGAGCUUUCUAAGGCCAGUGGGUUUCCCAUGGAGGUACCUACAUGUAAUGCAGUUGUUGGGGCUUACUGCAGAGCCUCAAAAUUCCAGCAUGCCUUCAAGAUGGUCGAUGAGAUGAGAAAGAGUGGAAUCGGUCCAAAUUCCCGGACUUAUGAUAUUAUUCUUCACCAUCUUAUAAAGUCUCAGAAGAUAGAAGAGGCUUAUAAUGUGUUCCAGGGAAUGGGCAAGGAUGGCUGUGAACCUCAGCUCAACACAUAUACAAUGAUGGUUAGUAUGUUCUGCAGUAAUGAAAGGGUUGAUGUGGCCUUGAAGGUGUGGAACCAAAUGAAGGAGAAGGGUGUUCUGCCAUGUAUGCACAUGUUUUCUGCAUUGAUCAACGGGUUAUGCUUUGAGAACAGGCUGGAAGAAGCUUGCGUAUAUUUCCAGGAGAUGUUGGACAAAGGGAUCAGGCCACCUGGUCAGCUUUUCAGUAAUUUAAAGGAAGCUCUUAUUGAGGGAGGAAGAAUUAGUCUGGCACAGGAGAUGGCUUUGAAGUUGGAUGGAUUACGGAAAACACCUAUGCGUCGUUGAGGAAUCAUGCAAAUGAUCUGUUGCAGCAGCAUAUGGCUUUUGGCUGUUAGAAGCUCAGUCAAAAUUGUGAUCCUUCUGUGUGUCGCUGCCGUCAGUCGCGGCCUUACUGCUUGGAGGACAGGAGGAGCAUCAGGGGUCUUUGCUACAUCUAUCGGGGUACUGGCCAGAAGUAGGUUAUUGUUAUCCAUGUUUCACAAGCUGAGGUGGCCACCUUUGAUCUAAUACCCGCGAGUCUUCUAUAUUGUCUUCAUCCUAUUCGUGCUAAAACAUACUCAGUUUCCAACUGAAAAAAUGGGCUCCUGGUUUGGUCUAAACACUAUUAGAAUAAUAAUUUGGUUGCAUGCUCUAAUGUGUAUCGGUUGUAUAAAAAAAACAGAUUAAUGAACCCUAGGCUAUGCAACGAUUUCUAGAUGAUUCAUUGUAGUUAUAUGGUCUGUUAGAUUUCCCCCCCACAUUGCUGUUAGAGAACGUUUCGGUACGUAAUAUAUCUGUAAAACAAAAUUUGGUUGUACUAUAUAUUAGGGGUGGCCGUAUAAGAAGAUUCUGGUCGUCAACAGAUUGAUAUUUUCUUU